GAACCCCCUGUGGUGCGCAUGCGCGCCUGCCGGGCCCGGGGGGAGGGGUGCUCCGGAAGAAGCACUGCCCAGGUGUUCGCGCUCUGGUUCGGGCGCUGCUGGGGCUGGUGGGGGCCUCGGGUCUUCUAUGGGCUGCAUCGGCUUGGCUUUGUUCAGGCUUCACGGCAUCCUCAAAAGAGGGAAGCCAGGUUCUACUUGCAAUUUGUAGAGGGAAUUAUAGGGGGCUUUGCGAGAUACACCAACUGUGGAGAAAGUCAUCACAGUUCAAGCAGGAAAUAUGGAAAUAAGGCAUUUUAUAAAAAGAACUGGACAAAUUUCAUUGAUGUCUGAGGAUUAAAAAAACAUAUAAAUCUCUGGACCUGUCAAGCAGACCUCCAAAUGACUGUCCUGCUGCCCAGGCUGCCACAGCAACAUAGCAUGUCAAGCUCCUGAAGGCUGAAUGGGCGAUGUGUGGGCAUGAUGUGAUGUGUGGGCAUGAUGUUGAACUCACCUUUCUUGCUAUAGGAGUUGCAGCUUUAUGUCUACCUGAUCCCAGUUGGGGGAAACCCAACGAUUCUCAGCCAGAGGCCUCAAGAGUCUGUUAACAGUGCCGUGGGACAUGGUUAGCAGCGCAGACACACACAAUAAACCCGGAAGUGGUAAAUCCAAAACCAGAGCAUCCAAACCAACCUGAGGCACCGUGGGCUAUUGGAGGUCUUUGCAAAAGAAGCUUCUGCCUAAUAUUUUUCCAUGCUCAAAAAAAAUGGGUAAAAGCUGAGAGCUGGCGUUUUCUGAGGGGUCCUUGAGUCCAAAGAGGUUGAGAACCUGAGUUAACCCAGAGCACAAAGUGAUGUGAAUGCUCCUACACUGAAUUAAUCUAGGCUUAUUUUAGUUGAGUCAAACUGGUUAGAACCAAGCUUAAUUGGUAGUGAGUGGGCCACAGCAUCUGAGCCACAUCUAGUUUUUCUGCAGCUUUUCAAAAUAUUUUCAAAGGUGUUUCCCCCCAGUGUGCCUUGGGCAUGAUUUUCCUGCCAUCCUGAACAAUGCAACCUGUGCAGCUAAUUAAUGCAACACAAGGUGUUACAUACUGUCAUUUUUUUUCUUUUGGACUGGACUGUCUUUGCUGUGAUUCACCAUGACCUGUGUCUGUGUUUGUGGCUCUUGGGGUACCGUUGAUUACUUGACCCAGCGGAGUGAUCAUCCUCGACCAUAAGGGAUCACCUCCACCAGCGACCUAAGACCGACAGGACUGAGCGUCACCGAGUUCAGGCAAACUGAAAGGUGAAAUUUAAAUUGGGGUUGUGCUCACUUGAAUAGACUGAUGCAAAUGUGUGUGUAAACAAACCUGUGCCCUUUCAAAUAUCUAAUGGCUUAUCCAUGCUUGGUUCACACAAGCGCUAUUGCAGUUUCUUUGUAUAAGAACAGCUGCUGCAAACACAGCCCUGAUGUGGUUCUUAUGAUCAUUGUAAACAGUGUUCUCUGGAAAUGUCCUUAGCCCAGCCUGAGUAAGGUCCUCCCAUUCCCACAAGUAGCUUCUGAACCACUAGCUGUCACUGUUCCAAGGGACUGUUGCAUUUUCAAAAUCUUUAAAGCUUUGGUUCGGGAAAUAAAGGUAAUUUUCUCUCCCCUUUUCUUCUCUUCCCUUUCCUACUACCAUUUUAAAUAUCUGGAGGUUAAUAUCCACUGUAACCUGGAGACCUUGUAUAAAGUCAGUUUCCCUUAGCUAGCAGAAUUUUGCCUAAAAUAAGAUGCCACGUAGAAACUUCAGUUAAUUAGCUUGAUAGACAGCACUAUUUGCAUUAAGUGAUUUCCGAGCCUGAUUUUUUUAGACUUCUACAUCAUCUACUUUGACAGUUAACAGUUUCAGGCUUUGGGCUGGCAAGUGAAUUUUGAUCAGCAUGAAGAGCCUUCAUCAAUCAUUUUUAGCUGCCUGUGCCAGAUUUUAAUCUAUAUUAAUUAGGACAUAACUGAGAGAGAUUGCACACUGGAGAUAAUCCUCUCAGUGUCCAUAAUCAGCUGCUGCUGCCCUGUGAAAGGGGGAAGUGAACAGUGUCUAAACUUCUGUUACACUCCAGGCUUUCAUAUGGAAGAGGUCCUGUUCCCUCCUUAUGGGGUCACCGGUACUAUUGCAACUUUUCUUUUGGCACAGGCAGUCAAUUGUUACAUUUAGUUUGGGUCACUUGAAAAUUAGAAUGAACACAGUGGGUCUGUGCUCACAUGUGCAAUUGUUUGUCAUCAAGAAUUUUCCUCCUUUCUUUGAAUGAAACUAAAUGGAAACUUCCAGAAUUUCUUUUAUAGUUAACCCUUCCGCUUCAUAGUUUCCCCAGCACAAAAGUGUAUUAAAUUGCUAUGAAAACAGGAGAAAAUCCAGAUGCUAAGAUAGGAAACUAGUAAUCAACGGAAUUAACAGGAAUUGUGUCAUCAGUUAGUGUAAUUAAUCACACAGCAUCAUCAUUUGUGGUAGAGUAGCACCUGAGAGUUCUAGUCAUGGACCAGGACAGCACUGUGCUAGGUGCACUGCAAAUGCAGAACAAGGUGCCUCGCACAGAAUAUAAGUCCAAGAUACCUCGUAACAUAUUAGAAUUUCACUUCUAAAGCACUCUCACAAUGUGAUCUUUGUGCAUUUGCUUGUGUUGUUCCCCAGCAAAGUGGAUUAUUGUUGGUUAGUGACUGGGUCACUAACCAACACGUAAUAGGAUUUUCCUGUGCCCUCUCAUUUCUUAUUGGAAGUCAUCUUAGCAGUAAUAUGUUUUGGGUUUAACCUCGUUGGUAUUGGUUUUGACAAAUGCCUCUUAUUCCAGAGAAAUGUGUGGCUAUUAAGCUCUUGCAUGUAACCAGGUAGCUGAAGCAAUAGGAAUCCCAUUUGAAACACAGGCAUGUGGCUAGGCCUAGCCAGAGGAGUUUCCCUGGAGACUACUAUAGCAAACAUUGGGGGGGGCUGAAGCACUAAAAGGUGGAGCUGUUUCUGUGUGCAUGUCCCUGAGAAAAAGAGCAGAAAACCUAGGAAAGCUGAGAGAAAAGGCAAUGAGCAAGUGCUAGAUGUAGUCACCUGCAAGGCACAGGUAGUGUGGCAUUGAAAGAAUCGUAGACAGAGAACUUUUGUGCCCGGUGUUUGCUGGGAAGCACUUGCAGCUGGGAGUGAAGGAACUAGCCUUGUUGUCUCCUCCUUAUAUGUUCAGAGGAAUCAGGAUUUAGGGUGUUUUUACACAUUCUCCAAUGAGAGUUAUGAGGGGGAGCCGUUCUAAAUAAAGUACCCGCAGUGUCUCAUAUAUCAGCAUCCGUGUGCUUCAAAAUGGCAGUGGGAACACUUAAACUAAAGCUCCUUUGACAUGCAGGGAUGUUGAUACACGAGACACAGAGGCUGCUGGAGCACACUAAUUAUCAUACUCCAGCAGACUCAAUUAAUCGAGUCCGCUCCAACAUGCUGUAAUUACAGCGCAUCAGAGCAGCCUCCUGACAUGUCUACAAGCACCAUUAGUGCACACUUUUUGUAAAUAAACACAGCUGCUUCAGUUUCAUCAUCUAUUUCUCUUCCUUAUGAAAUAACCUGCAGGACCCUAAACAAUGGCUAACUCUCAGGCAGAAAGGGGUACCAUGGGGUUAUUCUUUUGCUGGAUUCAACAAAGUAUUGACUUCAGGCAGUAGCAUAACUAGGGCAGGGUGAACAGGGUAACUACUUGGAUACUGACUUGGGGACAGAAGCAAAAAAAACCCUCCUGCUAUUAGCAGCCACACGAUCACAAUUGUGACUGUAGUGGCCACUGGAAGUUGCCAUUGUCCCUGUGCCCUGGGUACCUGGUCAUAUCCCUAAGCUGCUGACUUUGGGCUUAGCUUUAUUGAACAAGGUUGGAAUUAAUCAUUUGCUUCAAGUUAAGCAUGUUUGACAGCUUUGCCAAAUUGUCUUCAGGUACUGGUGGGACCAAAAAAAAUUUAAAGAAAUAUUUUUCACCAACUUUCAUCAAAUGGAUAUAAUUGAGGCUGAGGGUUUGUCAGCACACCAUUUGGUCCUAGGACUUUGGCAAACCUUCCUCUUGUAUCAUAAGUCAAACUUGCCAUUAUAAAGCUGAAGGGACAAAGAUUCAUCAUUGAUUUUGGAAUGGGUCCAGAAGAUCUGAAGCCUAAGUCACUGAUACAAACUCUAUGCAUUUUUUCCAAAGAGUACACAUUUCUGGGCCUAUGCUGUAUUAUUGAAUCCUUUUAUAACUGUAAUAGGCUAAUUUGCUAAAGGUUAAUUGCACAGGAACUAGCAAAAGGCUAAAGUAUUCUAUUUGUUCCAAGUAAUGGAUACUUUCUGUUCGACAGUCAAAUAUUUCUGGGGGAUUGCCAGCAGGUACAGUGAUGAGACAAAGGGUUUUUCUCAGAUUACAUCUGGAAAGGGAAGUCUGUUGAAUGGUAAGCAACUGUUCCUGGUAAUUUCUUAUAAAAAUGUCAAAGGAAAAAUUUAGCAGGACAUGAGGCAAACACUGUCAUACAUGUUAUACAGGCCAGAUCUGAGGUAUGCAAAUAAUCUCCAGCCACCACAGAAAGGGCAACAACCAUUCAAAAGAUACAUUACUUAACAACAUUUAAUAAAAUAGAGCAAUUGAAAUUACUUCUCAUAGGGCAUGUUUACGUGUUCAUUAAUGCACUUUAGGUAAUGCACGUUAAAUCUACUGCCUCCCAGCGGAGGUACUAGAAAAAGGUGCAUUAGCCUAUUUUAAUGCACAUUAGCUAAAGAGCAGUUUUUUGUAAUGCUUUAAUGUGCAUUGAAAUACGCUACUGCGCAUUAAAAUGCAUGUGUAGACACACCCUAUAGUGUCCUUUUGCUGCACUGUGACCAAAAGAACUCAGGGCACUGCCAAAUGGUGAGAAAAAUGUCAGGAGGCCAGAUCAACCCCCAGCCCAUAAAAGGAAGGGGAGCUGUCUAUGUCAGCAGUCAGCAACCUAUGUCUUGUGGGUUGACUAGAUCUAGCUAGCAGACUUGGGAGGCUUCGGCGGCAUUUGGCAUCAGGGAGAAGUGGUGGUGGAAGGGGCUAGGUCCUAGUGUUAGCCCAUUUUCAUCCGAACUGGGUCAUUCUAGCUUGCUGCCCCAGAAAGGUUACUGACUGCUGGUCUAUGAGGAUUUGUUCACAGACCUUCCCAUUUCCUAUCACACUGUUCCACGGAGGCAGUCUGUCCAGCUGGAGUCCUUGGCCACAUGCAGCCUGCCAGGCUUUAGUUAGCAUGCAGCCUACAGACUGCUGGCUUUCCCAUGACUUAACAUUUUUACAGAAAAGGGAGUCUGAUUUCUAGAUUGUUGAGGCUUCCCAGGACUUAUGGGUUUGUAGGCAUUUUAUGUACAUUACAGUGGAAUCAGGCCAAGAUCAAUUGAAGGGCAGGUUCCUCAGACAGAGCUCCAGCAGAGAUGUGGAAACAAACAAAGACUUUUGUACAGAUAAUUCCUAUCUCCUUACUCCUUUCUCAUUUGCAAGGCUCUGGUGACCUCUAGAGGCCAUAAUGCAAAAUCAGCUCUUUGAUAAAGAGGGUAUUUAGAUCCAUUUACUGCCCUUCAACAAUAGAUAUUGUAUGAUCAUUAGAGUUUUGGAUGAUUUAGGGCCAAACCAGGGUUUACUCCAGUUCUAUUAGUACAGUUACUGGUGAACAGCAGUUUAUAUCAUCAGUCCCUUCCUACACCAGAAAAACAAGGAUUUUCCUCUAGUAUCACCUGCAGUAGCCUCAACCUUCAUGUGACACACUCUUCUGGUCUUGAGAUUCUUCUUUGGUAGAGACUUGCUUUGUCCUAGUAAGAAAGCAUCUCCUUUCCUUAAUAAUUAUCCCUGGAGAAAGGUGCAUCCAGUGCCUGAUCCUGCAGACAUUUAAGCACAUAGGAAACUGCAUACAUGUAAGUAGUCUGAUUACCUGCAUGCAGCAAAGUCCUUGUGAUGUGAGGGCUAGUGGGGACUGGACCUUGUAAGGGAAUGUGCUGAAACCUCCUCACUCAGGUUUUGACUGAGUAUCCUGCUUUCCUGAAAGGUUUUACGUCAGGAGAUGUUGAUUAAAACACUCUGCAUUGUAUUCUCAGCAGGGGGAAACAGUAAUGAUGAAAAUUUGAAACAGCAUUUUGAAAAUGCUAGGAAAUGCUAGUGGUUUUAAAAACAUUUAAUAAAAGGUCUGGAUAACAUUGUAGCUAUAUUUAACAGGAAAUAAGGCAGUUGACUGAGAAAGAGAGGAGGCAGCAUUGUGAGAAAUUAUUAAUUACAAAUCUUUCAGUGAGUAGCUAACUGAGAAAAGUUUCCUAAGGUAAUUUUCUCUGGAGUGGUUGAGACAUAGGGCUAAGACCAUAUCAGAGCUGCUGAGAGAAUUGAAAGAGAGAAUGAGAGAGAGGCCUGGAGUGGUUCAGGGGAUUUGGUUGAUAGAGAGACUUAGAGCCGUGGAGAAGCAUAGCAAGAAGAGGAAAGAAAAGCAGGAGGAGCUGAAAGAGAUAUGCAGCAAUGUAUACAUUAAAAACGAAACAAAACAAUGCAGACUAUUUGUUACAAAAGCUUUAAUAAAUUCAUAGUUGCACAGUGACCUCCAUGAGCUACGUGAACAUCCCAAGUUUAAUGGUGCUCAGUUCUCUCUCUGAAUUUGUUGUUUUUACUUGCCGUGUUUUUCCCUUCUGCAUUUCCUACUGGGCCUCAUAACAGCACUUUAAUGACAGCAUUUGUUUGGUGACAGCAUCCCCGGAGGUUAGUUGUGGCUUGCACAUGCAGUUUUAGAGAAAACCAAGGGUAGUAGGAAAGGAAUCUGCCUUAGUCUCAAAAAGGGUGACCUGUAAAAAGAAACAUGUUGUGUGUGGCUCUUUUUGGUUUUCUUGUCACAAACCCUUUAGAUAAAGGGGCUUUUUUAAAAUAAAAGACUUCCUUUUCUCCUUGUUUCCCCCUAAAAACAUUAGGUCUCACCUAUCUUGUUUUUGCUGUUUUUUUGCUAUCUAUAGACAGCUGGAAAACUAGAGGUCUCACAAGAGACUGAAAUCUGAGCACUUGUGAGGGGAGGGGACUUUUACUCAGACUGUGUAAAACACUUUGAGUUUUGUUUGAUUUUGUUAGAUAAACACAGGGGGGAAGCUAUGCUUGUCAAAGAUUUUGAUUCCCCUACUACUUCCAGCUGUACGCCAAGAAAUUCUUACUGCAUUGUUUUGUUCUAUUAACAAAUCCUGCAGCAAAAGGUGUGUGAACAAAAUGUGUAUUCCUAAUAUUUGUAAAGUAAAAACAACAUGUUUUAGGGCUUCAGAUCACCAGUGGACACUUUAUAAGCAUUGUAAAGUAGUGAGUGGAGAAAAAGAGUUUUCUUUGGAGGUCACUAUAGGCACUGGCUCUAUAUGGCAGAUACACAUUUUUUAAAAGGUAUGGAUUGAUUGGAAUUAUACGUUUUGUUGCAAGACAGGCAGAGCUAGUUGGCAAAUGGGAACCAUUUUUCAAGAUAUUUUUAAUGAUUUUGCAAAAUCUUUUGAAUUUGUCCAUUUUCAGCUGAAGAUUUUUUUUCCAGAUUUAUUUUUUCCUCAUUUUUCAGAGGUGAAAUUGAAAACAAGAUAAAGGAGGGAUGAGAGAAGAAGAAGAGCCGGGGGGAAGAGAAGGAAAAAUAAUAAAUGACCCUCCCCCCCAUCAAUUUUUGUUCUUUCUAUAAAAUAUCACAAAAAUGAAAAUAUUUACAAGUUUUGAAUAAAAAAUCUGGCUAGUCAUGAAAUCCCAGCUUGAUUGUAGGCCUAGGAAGAGCAAUAAAUCAUAGAAUUAAAAUCAGCACUUGGAAAACACAUAGAGAUUAGAACAUAAAGUAUUUUCUUGUUCUAUGAACUGUAUAAGAUAAACACAGUUACACAAAAAACCUCCAGGGCUCCUCUGUGAUUUCACAAGAGAGAAAGAACAUUCCGAUGUGAGUUAGAUAAUUUCACAAACCUUAUCUCAGUGUGAGGCUUUUGUAACAAAGUACAUGUUCUCUAAAGUCAGAAGCAUCAAAGGAGAGGGUGCAAUUAAGGUUCAGUAUUUUAUCAAGGAGGAAGCAGCUUUUUUUGGCUACUGAGCAACAGUGCACAUAUUGGUAUAUAAAGACAUUGCUUUCCCUUUAAUCAUCAUGCACAGUAGCCCCAAGAUGCCUGCUUCUUUGUGGCAGAUCAUAGCUCUCCAGCUGCCUUAAGCUGUGCCAUUGCAGGGGUAUAUAAUAACUGAUGUGCAGGUCUAGCCUCAGCUGUAUCCUACCCUACUCUCUGCACAUGGGGCUCUGGUAGAAUUGAUGCAGAGACUCCCUCUGCAGGGUCGAUGGCUCCAGUGCUGGUAGUGAAGGACUUUUUUCUCUUGGGGCUCCCUUUAGCUGUUCAUCCUAUCUGCUGAAUUAGUCAAACUUCAACAGAAUUCCCAUCCCCAACCUUCCAGGGCUUGCAAGCUUUGAUAAUAUGAUUUUAUUUUAUUUUUAACUAAACCAGCUUCUUCAAUCAGACUCAGUUUAGUAUAGAAAAGGAGUAGGAAGGACUGGUCACUGCACACACCCUCAAGGCUUAGAAGUCAAUCAUCUUCCUGGGACUGACUCCAGAGAGUCAUCUGUGAAGCUGGGAUCCACAAGGCUAAGGAUGGGUCCCAAGAGAGGGCUAGAGCUGAGGGGCACACUUAAUUUCCCUAUUAGUCCUGAGGACUUUCUCUGUUAAAAAUAAUGAAACCUAGAGUGUAUCCCUUGAGAUCUAUGGGUUCUGGAUCCCUUGAGAUCAAUGGGCCCCACUUCCAGGGAAGGCAAAUUGAAUACCCUUCCCUCCCAGAACAACUGAGAGAGCACUUCUUGUUGGACCCCCAUGCUCUGAACCCCUCCAAUGAGUGUUACCAGGGGAUGAUCAGGCCUAAUAGUGCACAAACAGGAAUUAAAAGAUUUUUUAAUAUUUGCUUACAGUGAAGGACACAAUUCAUAAAAAGUUCAGAAAUAUUAAAGUGUAUCUUAUAAUGAGCACAUAAUUUUUUAAAUUAAUUUAAUGAAUCUGAAUUCAUUAACACACAAGUUUAUUGAGAUCUACAUGCUGAGAUCUGCUGAGCUCCAGGUGCACUAUGUCCUGGAACCAUGAGCUAAAAAACCUGACCAGUCAAUUAUAAGGCUAGGGACAGACAUUACACAUAAACCGGUUUAUGUGAUCAGAAACUGGUUUAAACUUGCAACAGAACAGAUGUUCAGUGCACAUAAACCAGUUUGAAAAUGGCUAAAACUGGUUUGAGAUAAACCUGGCUGAAUGUAAUAUCAGACUUAACUGAUUUGGCUCAAACCAGUUUCUGCAAUGUCUGUCCCAGACCGCUUGCUGGUUUAAAAUAAACCAGAGUCCCCCAGCAUCCUGGUAUGAUCUCUGGGCUGGGUGGGGCUCUCUGCUCCACAGCAGGGCUGGCCCCUCCCCUCUGUUCCCUAGCUGCAGCUCAGGCAAAGACUUGCAGGCACAGAGCAUCUGCCUGGCUUCUCCCUGCUAAGCAGAAAUUAUUCCCCCUGCCCCUCUGCCUUAUGCAGACACCUCAGCAUUAGCUAGCAGACCACAUACUGGUUACAGUCCAUGCUGUGGUGGACAACAGGCAGACAGGCUUUUUGGAGCUAAUCAACAGGUAGCUUAAUGUCCUUCCUUGGAAAAGCUGUUUAAGAAUGGAGAGGGGCUUUGUUUUCUUAAUGGGCUGAUAAACACUGAGUUAGGGGUGAUAAACAUUCCCUGUCGGGCUGCUCAGGAGCAGGGGUGGGGUGUCAGGGGGGAACUGCUCAGGAACAGGGGUGGGGGGUAAGGGGGGAACGGGACAUCAGAGUGUCCUGCCAUGGCCUGGCAAUUCCCACCCCUGCACCCCCCCCCCCCACACCCGCUCAGCUCAGCACUGCGGAAUCGGAAGGAGGGCUGCUCUACCACCCCCCCGGCUUCUAGCCGGAGCCUCUUCAGCCAUAUGCCUGAAUCUUUUCAGUCCAGAGGGAAUGUCUGUACGGUUACAAGCUGGUUUAGCUGAGCCAAGUUAGACUAACUUGCAAAGAUUGAAUCAGUUCAGGCUUUUUGAAUGUCCAUCCCUAGCCUAAAUGAACACGUGUUGAUGAAUCUUCUAUGUGAAAACUGUCCAAUCUGUUGUUUUCCAGUGAUUGAAUGUGUUACCUAAGUCUCUGGAAUGCUCUAAGUUAGACAUUGAGUCUGGGACUGUGGACUUGCAUCUUCAGUAUUUCAAGAUUUGUUUGUUGUUUACUACUCUGCAUCUGACAUCCAAAUGAUACAAUUAAUUUGUAUGUAACUUUGCAAAGACAAUGGAAUUUUAAUAAACGAAAUGUUGAUACUA
Molecule: long non-coding RNA, 10241 nt
Organism: Alligator mississippiensis (American alligator)
Lineage: Eukaryota; Metazoa; Chordata; Crocodylia; Alligatoridae
Exons: 2
Source: RefSeq, a predicted model, not a curated record